Molecule: small nuclear RNA, 99 nt
Organism: Mesocricetus auratus (golden hamster)
Lineage: Eukaryota; Metazoa; Chordata; Mammalia; Rodentia; Cricetidae
Source: Ensembl
GUAGCCAGCACAUAUACUAAAAUUGGAAUGAUACAUAGAAGAUUAGCAUGAUCCCUGCAUAAGGAUGACAUGAAAUUCCUGAAGCAGCACUACAGAUGU